UUCUAAUUUUUAUUGUUGGCGUUUUUAUAUAUUAUAAAAAAAAAAAAACAACUUUUAUAAAAAAAAAAAAAAAAAGGAAAAAAAAAAAAGAGCAGUAAUACUGGGUGGUUGAUUUGUUUUUAGCAGACUUGGCUUCAUUUUUGUCUUUAAAAAAUGGCCAGCAUAAAUGCUGUUUAUAUUCACAUUUUCCUAGGUGUGUGUGUGCAGGCCACAGCAGCAUGCCCUUGGUGUAGUCAGUGCCGAAGGGGGUCUGUUCCUUCUUGAGCCUGCCCGCAGGGAUGGUCUCCUCUUUUAAAGCAGGUUGUGUACAACUUUCAGUACACUGAAGGUAAGCUAACCCAUCAACAUCACCGGUGUUUAAGCUGUUAUUUUUCUGGAACAACUGACAAAUGAGAGACAAUAGCAUUGUGGCAGAAUUCCCUGCAUGUUUGAUAAAUGAUCUUGUUUUAUUUUCUGGCAUUGCAACCGUGGCAUAGUUACAACUUCUGUUCUGUUCAUCACAUUUAAAACUUUGAGAGUGCGCACUUGAUGGAUAGAGCGCCUUCAGUGUACUGUUUCUUAUUACUUUAAUUUUUUUAAUCAACUUGCUAUAGACUUUGUAUACAUUUUGUUAAAUACAGUUCACUAUGACAUAGAACCAAUACUUACAGAAGAGUUUUCAUUUAGUAAUUACGUAUGUUGGGAUCUCAUUCGAAAGACCUUAUAUCUAAAGGAUAGAUAGACAACAUAAUGAAAUUUUUAACUAUUUGUAUGUCAUUUUGAAAGUGUACUGCUUUAUGCUAAAAGUGUUUCAUUUGUUCAUUGUUUUCAUUAUUUGUGAUCAUGUUGUCUUUCAAUACAGGCAUAAACCUUCCACUCUUGAACAAAGCAGCUGCUUUUUAAAAGCGAGAAAAAGGAAAGCGAGUCACAGGCCACUCAACGCCUACUCCAUGGGUCUGAUUUGCUGAGACACCAACUUCACCUUCCUAACAAGGUGCAGCUCAAAAGAAGAUGACGGCUACCAGAAGACAUGAACAAAGGGUAAGUGGCAUUAAACCUCUGAAGAAACUUUAUGUGUAUAUUGACCCGUACACAGAAGGCAGACCAGUCUGUGAUACCGCUGGAGAUAGAGCGAUCUUCUACAGUAUGUGUAAAAUUGUAACUCGGGCGGAGGAUGUUGGGAAGUGGCA
Molecule: long non-coding RNA, 1169 nt
Filed under: Buteo japonicus
Lineage: Eukaryota; Metazoa; Chordata; Aves; Accipitriformes; Accipitridae
Description: lncRNA (ENSBJAG00000007592.1)
Source: RNAcentral